AGAGAGCUUUCUUCAGUCCACUCAUGGGUGGCAAUAAGAUUUAAUUAGCUGCCGACUCAUUCAUCCAAAUACUGAGUUAAAGGGCUAGCUGAGGAGGUUACCCAGUAAAUGAGUGAAUGAAGCGGGAGACAAAUUGAAUCUUAAGCUUCCUGUACUUGGACUGAAGGGAGCUCCCU
RNAcentral lists this microRNA precursor (176 nucleotides) under Manihot esculenta (cassava). Its description in RNAcentral is "miR319b stem-loop (mes-MIR319b)". Its record names the gene mes-MIR319b. It matches the Rfam family "MIR159 microRNA precursor family", at positions 13 to 185 of the family's 196-position model. Lineage: Eukaryota; Viridiplantae; Streptophyta; Magnoliopsida; Malpighiales; Euphorbiaceae. The record is from miRBase by way of RNAcentral.